RNAcentral lists this signal recognition particle RNA (69 nucleotides) under Lachnospiraceae bacterium. Its description in RNAcentral is "partial signal recognition particle sRNA small type". It matches the Rfam family "Bacterial small signal recognition particle RNA", at positions 1 to 68 of the family's 97-position model. Rfam says of the family: The signal recognition particle (SRP) is a universally conserved ribonucleoprotein involved in the co-translational targeting of proteins to membranes. The record is from RNAcentral. Lineage: Bacteria; Bacillati; Bacillota; Clostridia; Lachnospirales; Lachnospiraceae.
GAUUGGGUCUUGCGCAAUGGAAAUCCGUGAAUCGUGUCAGGUUGGGAACAAAGCAGCACUAAACAGAAA